UACAGCUUGUGAACAAUAUUAUGAAAAUAGUUUAUCGUAAGAAUUCCUCAAUAAUGCUAGAUAAAAACUUUUUUGCACAAACUUUUCUCAAAUCUGUCCUUUGUUGACAAAUUUGUUUUGAUUUUUUUUGUGAAAAUUGUCGACAAAAAAAUAUUUUCUUUGGUUAACAUCAAAAUCACGCGAAUUUAAGACCCAUUUCUGGACGAAACUCUAAGAAUAGAGGCGUCGAAAAGUUGCAAGAAUUCAAGAGAAGUGAAGAAUUAGUGGAGGAGAUGCGAAAGAGAUCAUCUAGGUAUCAAUGCAACAGGAGGCAGCGACAGCUGGGAUGGCGAUCAAUGAAUGAAAUGUGUAAAAUAAUUAAAAAAUAAAUAUUUUAUACCAUUGAAAAAAUAAGCUUGAUAUAAUAUUACUUUCGUAAGCUUAUUCUGCAAUUACAAGAAUAAGCUUAUGAAUAAGGGUUCCCUUUCGAUUAUUCUAUAAUUGUUAAACAAGCAUUUCUCAAUACAUUCUCAAGAUUUUCUCAA
This is a long non-coding RNA of Musca domestica (house fly), 524 nucleotides long. RefSeq lists it as uncharacterized. Lineage: Eukaryota; Metazoa; Arthropoda; Insecta; Diptera; Muscidae. The transcript is spliced from 2 exons. The record is from RefSeq and is a predicted model, not a curated record.